AGUGAACGCUGGCGGCGUGCUUAAUACAUGCAAGUCGAAGGAAGUGGCGCACGGGUGAGUAAUAUAUAGCUAAUCUGCCCUUUGCUGGUGGACAACAGUUAGAAAUGACUGCUAAUACACCAUAGUAAGGGAUGAGAGUAUAUCGUAUCAGCUAGUCGGUGGGGUAACGGCCUACCGAGGUUAUGACGCGUUACUGGUUUGCGAGGGUGAUCAGUCACGUUGGAACUGAGACACGGUCCAAGCUCCUACGGGAGGCGGCAAUAGGGCGUAAUGCGCAAUGGGCGAAACCCUGACGCAGCAACGCGGCGUGGGGGAUGACACUUUUCGGAGCGUAGACUCCGUUUGUUAAGGAAGCGGUACCUAACGAAUAAGCACCGGCUAACUCCGUGCCAGCAGCCGCGGUAAUUC
Molecule: ribosomal RNA, 408 nt
Filed under: uncultured bacterium
Lineage: Bacteria
Description: partial 16S ribosomal RNA
Rfam family: Bacterial small subunit ribosomal RNA
Source: RNAcentral